CCUCAAGGAAGAUAAUGACGGUACUUGAGGAGGAAGCCCCGGCUAACUACGUGCCAGCAGCCGCGGUAAGACGUAGGGGGCUAGCGUUAUCCGGAUUUACUGGGCGUAAAGGGUGCGUAGGCGGUCUUUCAAGUCAGGAGUGAAAGGCUACGGCUCAACCGUAGUAAGCUCUUGAAACUGGGAGACUUGAGUGCAGGAGAGGAGAGUGGAAUUCCUAGUGUAGCGGUGAAAUGCGUAGAUAUUAGGAGGAACACCAGUUGCGAAGGCGGCUCUCUGGACUGU
RNAcentral lists this ribosomal RNA (282 nucleotides) under Clostridioides difficile. Its description in RNAcentral is "partial 16S ribosomal RNA". It matches the Rfam family "Bacterial small subunit ribosomal RNA", at positions 437 to 737 of the family's 1533-position model. Lineage: Bacteria; Bacillati; Bacillota; Clostridia; Peptostreptococcales; Peptostreptococcaceae. The record is from RNAcentral.